RNAcentral lists this ribosomal RNA (315 nucleotides) under uncultured fungus. Its description in RNAcentral is "eukaryotic LSU rRNA". The stretch from base 1 to 52 matches the Rfam family "5.8S ribosomal RNA", at positions 103 to 154 of the family's 154-position model. Lineage: Eukaryota; Fungi. The record is from RNAcentral.
AACGCACCUUGCGCUCCUCGGUAUUCCGAGGAGCAUGCCUGUUUGAGUGUCGUGAAGUCUUCAACUUUGUCUCGCUUUGAAAAUUGCGAGGCGAGGCUUGGAUUUGGGGGUUGUUGGCCUCUUGCCUCCCUUGCCGGGGGCUUGAGGGGGGUCGACUCCUCUGGAAUGCAUUAGCGAAGGUUGAUGUGCGAACCAGUGUCUCGGUGUGAUAAUGAUCAUCGUGCCUGACGUGCAGUGUCCUGUGCUUACAGUCGUCGUAAGACAACGUUUUGAACCUUUGACCUCAAAUCAGGUAGGAUUACCCGCUGAACUUAA